CCAGACUCCUACGGGAGGCAGCAGUGGGGGAUAUUGCACAAUGGGGGGAACCCUGAUGCAGCGACGCCGCGUGGGCGAUGGAGUGCUUCGGCAUGUAAAGCCCUAUCAGCAGGGAAGAAAAUGACGGUACCUGACUAAGAAGCCCCGGCUAAAUACGUGCCAGCAGCCGCGGUAAUACGUAUGGGGCAAGCGUUAUCCGGAUUUACUGGGUGUAAAGGGCGUGUAGGCGGGAGAGCAAGUCAGACGUGAAAUUCCAGGGCUCAACCCUGGAACUGCGUUUGAAACUGUUCUUCUUGAGUGAUGGAGAGGCAGGCGGAAUUCCGUGUGUAGCGGUGAAAUGCGUAGAUAUACGGAGGAACACCAGUGGCGAAGGCGGCCUACUGGACGGUGACUGACGCUGAGGCUCGAAAGCGUGGGGAGCAAACAGGAUUAGAUACCCUAGUAAC
This 446-nucleotide ribosomal RNA is filed under the name uncultured bacterium. Its description in RNAcentral is "bacterial SSU rRNA". It matches the Rfam family "Bacterial small subunit ribosomal RNA", at positions 331 to 794 of the family's 1533-position model. The record is from RNAcentral.